RNAcentral lists this ribosomal RNA (736 nucleotides) under Staphylococcus aureus. Its description in RNAcentral is "bacterial SSU rRNA". It matches the Rfam family "Bacterial small subunit ribosomal RNA", at positions 21 to 739 of the family's 1533-position model. Lineage: Bacteria; Bacillati; Bacillota; Bacilli; Caryophanales; Staphylococcaceae. The record is from RNAcentral.
GGCUCAGGAUGAACGCUGGCGGCGUGCCUAAUACAUGCAAGUCGAGCGAACGGACGAGAAGCUUGCUUCUCUGAUGUUAGCGGCGGACGGGUGAGUAACACGUGGAUAACCUACCUAUAAGACUGGGAUAACUUCGGGAAACCGGAGCUAAUACCGGAUAAUAUUUUGAACCGCAUGGUUCAAAAGUGAAAGACGGUCUUGCUGUCACUUAUAGAUGGAUCCGCGCUGCAUUAGCUAGUUGGUAAGGUAACGGCUUACCAAGGCAACGAUGCAUAGCCGACCUGAGAGGGUGAUCGGCCACACUGGAACUGAGACACGGUCCAGACUCCUACGGGAGGCAGCAGUAGGGAAUCUUCCGCAAUGGGCGAAAGCCUGACGGAGCAACGCCGCGUGAGUGAUGAAGGUCUUCGGAUCGUAAAACUCUGUUAUUAGGGAAGAACAUAUGUGUAAGUAACUGUGCACAUCUUGACGGUACCUAAUCAGAAAGCCACGGCUAACUACGUGCCAGCAGCCGCGGUAAUACGUAGGUGGCAAGCGUUAUCCGGAAUUAUUGGGCGUAAAGCGCGCGUAGGCGGUUUUUUAAGUCUGAUGUGAAAGCCCACGGCUCAACCGUGGAGGGUCAUUGGAAACUGGAAAACUUGAGUGCAGAAGAGGAAAGUGGAAUUCCAUGUGUAGCGGUGAAAUGCGCAGAGAUAUGGAGGAACACCAGUGGCGAAGGCGACUUUCUGGUCUGUAA